GUCGGACUCGGUGAUGGAUCCCACCGGGGCGUGAGGCUCACGCCCGAACCGCCUCCCGGAUGAUGGUUCCUGACUCGUC
This 79-nucleotide non-coding RNA is filed under the name Nostocoides japonicum. RNAcentral's name for it is "Tetrasphaera japonica Fluoride sequence". It matches the Rfam family "Fluoride riboswitch aptamer (crcB RNA motif)". Lineage: Bacteria; Bacillati; Actinomycetota; Actinomycetes; Micrococcales; Intrasporangiaceae. The record is from RNAcentral.